RNAcentral lists this ribosomal RNA (394 nucleotides) under uncultured bacterium. RNAcentral's name for it is "partial 16S ribosomal RNA". It matches the Rfam family "Bacterial small subunit ribosomal RNA", at positions 338 to 729 of the family's 1533-position model. The record is from RNAcentral.
CCUACGGGUGGCAGCAGUGAGGAAUAUUGGUCAAUGGUCGCGAGACUGAACCAGCCAAGCCGCGUGAGGGAGGAAGGUACAGCGUAUUGUAAACUUCUUUUGUAAGGGAACAAAGUCCGGUACGUGUUCCCUGCUGCGUGUACCUUAAGAAUAAGGAUCGGCUAACUCCGUGCCAGCAGCCGCGGUAAUCCGGAGGAUCCGAGCGUUAUCCGGAUUUAUUGGGUUUAAAGGGGGCGUAGUGGGGGUGAUAAGUCAGGAGUGAAAGGUUGGGGCUCAACCCUGGAACUGCAAUUGAUACUGGCAGUCGUGAGUGGAGGAGAGGUAGGCGGAAUUCGUGGUGUAGCGGUGAAAUGCAUAGAUAUCGCGCAGAACUCCGAUUGCGAAGGCAGCUUGC